GAGCUCGGAGCGGGGGCGGGGCAGGCGUGGGGAGAGCGCGGCAGCGCGGACCGCCGAGAGGGCCAGCAGAGGGGCGGGGAGUCUGGGCGGCACGGCUCUGGCUUCGCGCUCCCCGCCUCCACCCACCCCCAAACCUCCUGGAAGCUGCCGCGUAUCCGCCCUUGGCCUGCGCCUCCCUGCAGGGCUCUCCCAGGGUUCCUUUUGAAGCCUCUCUAAAACAGUUGAGCCCACUGUUCUCCUCCACUGCGGGCUGGGGACACAACAGACAAAGCAGAUCCCCGCCUUCGUGAAGCACGCAUUGGCGUCUCAAAUAUUUAAACCACGAAUUCACCAAUGGAGUUUGAGUAGUUAGAAAAGAAAAGAAUUCCAAGGAUUGAGCUUUGGAACAUUCCAACGUCUGGUGUUGAGAGAGAUGAGGAGUAAAGGACAAAGGAAAUUAAGAUGCCACUAAUGAGAUUUGCUGAUGGAACAGAAGGAUGUUAAAGAAAAAUGAAAACAAAGCUGUACUUUCUUACCAUAUUACCACCCAAAAAGAAAUCUAUUAAGUGAAAUAACAGAAAAGUGUGUGCAGUCUAAACUGGAGUUACUGACAAGUAUUUAAAGUAUCUGCAACAGGCUCCAGUUACUCUGGAUUUCUUUCUGUCCUAUGAAUUCACACAGAUGAGAACCUUAGCACUUGCUAUCUUUCUGCUCGGAUUGAUCUUUCCUUCGGAUCAAAACAUGACUACUCCCUUCUCUUCAGAUUAUCAACCCAAGCGCCAUUUCUUCAAAGAGGUCUUCUCUGACCAUCCAAUCCAAAACAGCCUCCCUUACUGGUCACUUUCUGUAACGUUACACUAAUGCAUCUUCUUCUCGGCAAUUAUGAGUACCUGAAAUUAUCAUAUUGUGUUUACUUUUUGCGCCUCAAUUUCUAAAAUGUCAGCUCAAUAAGAGGAAGGAUUCUUUUUUUUAAGUUGAAAUGUACAAUAUUAUGUUAGUUCUAGGUGUACUACACAGUGAUUUGACAUUUGCAUAUAUUAUGAAAUGAUAACCAUGAGAAAUCUAGUAACCAUUAGUCCCCUUACAAAGUUAUGAUGAUAUUAUCGACCAUAAACAUCCCUUAUGCUAUAUGUUACAUCCCCCUGGCUUAUUUAUUUUGUAACUGGGUUUUGUACCUUUUAAUCACCUUCACCUAUUUUGCUGCUCC
Globicephala melas (long-finned pilot whale) is the source of this 1186-nucleotide long non-coding RNA. RefSeq lists it as uncharacterized. The record is from RefSeq and is a predicted model, not a curated record. NCBI's taxonomy places the organism in Eukaryota, Metazoa, Chordata, Mammalia, Artiodactyla, Delphinidae.